UACGUAGGGGGCUAGCGUUGUCCGGAUUUAUUGGGCGUAAAGAGCGUGUAGGCGGCCAGGUAGGUCCGUUGUGAAAACUCGAGGCUCAACCUCGAGACGUCGGCGGAAACCCUCUGGCUAGAGUCCGGAAGAGGAGAGUGGAAUUCCUGGUGUAGCGGUGAAAUGCGCAGAUAUCAGGAGGAACACCGAUGGCGAAGGCAGCUCGCUGGGACGGUGCUGACGCUGAGACGCGAAAGCGUGGGGAGCGAACAGG
This 253-nucleotide ribosomal RNA is filed under the name uncultured bacterium. Its description in RNAcentral is "partial 16S ribosomal RNA". It matches the Rfam family "Bacterial small subunit ribosomal RNA", at positions 524 to 776 of the family's 1533-position model. The record is from RNAcentral.